Molecule: ribosomal RNA, 488 nt
Filed under: uncultured bacterium
Lineage: Bacteria
Description: partial 16S ribosomal RNA
Rfam family: Bacterial small subunit ribosomal RNA
Source: RNAcentral
UUGAACGCUGGCGGCCGGCCUAACACAUGCAAGUCGAACGGUAACAGGAAGCAGCUUGCUGCUUCGCUGACGAGUGGCGGACGGGUGAGUAAUGUCUGGGAAGCUGCCUGAUGGAGGGGAUAACUACUGGAAACGGUAGCUAAUACCGCAUAAUGUCGCAAGACCAAAGAGGGGGACCUUCGGGCCUCUUGCCAUCGGAUGUGCCCAGAUGGGAUUAGCUUGUUGGUGGGGUAACGGCUCACCAAGGCGACGAUCCCUAGCUGGUCUGAGAGGAUGACCAGCCACACUGGAACUGAGACACGGUCCAGACUCCUACGGGAGGCAGCAGUGGGGAAUAUUGCACAAUGGGCGCAAGCCUGAUGCAGCCAUGCCGCGUGUAUGAAGAAGGCCUUCGGGUUGUAAAGUACUUUCAGCGGGGAGGAAGGGAGUAAAGUUAAUACCUUUGCUCAUUGACGUUACCCGCAGAAGAAGCACCGGCUAACUCCGUG